CCCUAUGGGGUGCAGCAGGCGCGAAACCUCCACAAUGCACGCAAGUGCGAUGGGGCUACCUCGAGUGCCGUCUGAAGAAGGCGGCUUUUCCACGGUGUAAUGAGCCGUGGGAAUAAGAGGGGGGCAAGACUGGUGUCAGCCGCCGCGGUAACACCAGCUCCUCGAGUGGUAGGGACGUUUAUUUGGCCUAAAGCGUCCGUAGCCGGCUCGAUAAGUCCUUCGUUAAAUCCGGCGUCCCAAGCGCCGGGCUGCGAGGGAGACUGUCAAGCUAGAGGGUGGGCGAAGUCAGCGGUAUUUCUGGGGUAGGGGCGAAAUCCUUUGAUCCCAGGAGGACCACCAGUGGCGAAGGCUGCUGACUAGUACACGCCUGACGGUCAGGGACGAAAGCUGGGGGAGCGAAUCGGAUUAGAUACCCGAGUAGUCCCAGCCGUAAACGAUGCAGGCUAGGUGUUGGAGCGGCCACGAGCCGCUUCAGUGCCACAGGGAAGCCAUUAAGCCUGCCGCCUGGGGAGUACGGCCGCAAGGCUGAAACUUAAAGGAAUUUGGCGGGGGAGCACCACCAGGCGUGAAGCCUGCGGUUUAAUUUGGAGUCAACGCCGGGAACCUUACCGGGAGCGACAGCAGAGUGAAGGCCAGGUUGAAGUCUUGCCCGGACGAGCUGAGAAGAAGUGCAUGGGCCAA
RNAcentral lists this ribosomal RNA (681 nucleotides) under uncultured marine group III euryarchaeote. Its description in RNAcentral is "bacterial SSU rRNA". It matches the Rfam family "Archaeal small subunit ribosomal RNA", at positions 321 to 1002 of the family's 1478-position model. Lineage: Archaea; Methanobacteriati; Thermoplasmatota; Thermoplasmata; Candidatus Thermoprofundales. The record is from RNAcentral.